GACGUAGGGCGCGAGCGUUGUCCGGAUUUAUUGGGCGUAAAGGGCUCGUAGGCGGUUUGUCGCGUCGGGAGUGAAAACACCGGGCUUAACUCGGUGCUUGCUUUCGAUACGGGCAGACUAGAGGCAUGCAGGGGAGAACGGAAUUCCUGGUGUAGCGGUGAAAUGCGCAGAUAUCAGGAGGAACACCGGUGGCGAAGGCGGUUCUCUGGGCAUGUCCUGACGCUGAGGAGCGAAAGUGUGGGGAGCGAACAGG
Molecule: ribosomal RNA, 253 nt
Filed under: uncultured bacterium
Lineage: Bacteria
Description: partial 16S ribosomal RNA
Rfam family: Bacterial small subunit ribosomal RNA
Source: RNAcentral